Suricata suricatta (meerkat) is the source of this 344-nucleotide long non-coding RNA. RefSeq lists it as uncharacterized. Lineage: Eukaryota; Metazoa; Chordata; Mammalia; Carnivora; Herpestidae. The record is from RefSeq and is a predicted model, not a curated record. The transcript is spliced from 2 exons.
UCAAUCCAUGUUUUUCCUUUUGAGGUUAAAAUCGGACCCUCCAUCUCUGUGGGUUUCUGAGAUGUGCUGAGCUGAGGGAGGACCCGAGCACCCACGACCACUUCCGUUAACGGUCAAGUGCAGUCUCCUGGUGUCUUCUACGCUUUCUUCAAUGUGCAUAUCUACUUCAGUAAUCAGGGGAAAAUAAAAAUAGAAAGUUAAAGAAGAAAGUGAACCAUGUGGAGGAGCACUGGCUAGAAGGCCCUCUUCUGAUUAGUGGCUCUCUCUGAGUCUCUCUCACAUGCCUCUUCAGAGAGUCUUUUUCAUCUGUGAUGUGGAAAUUAAAUAUUCAUUGUUAUAAAAAA